This 510-nucleotide ribosomal RNA is filed under the name uncultured bacterium. Its description in RNAcentral is "bacterial SSU rRNA". It matches the Rfam family "Bacterial small subunit ribosomal RNA", at positions 267 to 769 of the family's 1533-position model. The record is from RNAcentral.
ACCAAGGCGACGAUCCGUAGCGGGUCUGAGAGGAUGAUCCGCCACACUGGGACUGAGACACGGCCCAGACUCCUACGGGAGGCAGCAGUGGGGAAUUUUGGACAAUGGGCGCAAGCCUGAUCCAGCCAUGCCGCGUGAGUGAAGAAGGCCUUCGGGUUGUAAAGCUCUUUCGGCCGGGAAGAAAUCGUGUUCUCUAACAUAGGACAUGGAUGACGGUACCGGACUAAGAAGCACCGGCUAACUACGUGCCAGCAGCCGCGGUAAUACGUAGGGUGCGAGCGUUAAUCGGAAUUACUGGGCGUAAAGCGUGCGCAGGCGGUUUGCUAAGACAGGUGUGAAAUCCCCGGGCUUAACCUGGGAACUGCGCUUGUGACUGGCAGGCUAGAGUACGGCAGAGGGGGGUGGAAUUCCUGGUGUAGCAGUGAAAUGCGUAGAGAUCAGGAGGAACACCGAUGGCGAAGGCAGCCCCCUGGGCCUGUACUGACGCUCAUGCACGAAAGCGUGGGGAGC